CCGGACGCACGGGUGAGUAACACGUGAGUGACCUGCCUUUUAGACUGGAACAACUUACCGAAAGGUGAGCUAAUGCCGGAUGAGUUAUAUAAGUGCAUGUUUAUAUAGGAAAAGUUGGGGAGACCUGACGCUGAAAGAUGGACUCGCGUCCCAUUAGCUAGUUGGUAGGGUAAUGGCCUACCAAGGCGACGAUGGGUAGCCGGCCUGAGAGGGUGGACGGCCACAUUGGGACUGAGACACGGCCCAAACUCCUACGGGAGGCAGCAG
RNAcentral lists this ribosomal RNA (267 nucleotides) under uncultured bacterium. Its description in RNAcentral is "partial 16S ribosomal RNA". It matches the Rfam family "Bacterial small subunit ribosomal RNA", at positions 94 to 354 of the family's 1533-position model. The record is from RNAcentral.